GUUGGAGGGCCUGCCUGGUGGAGGAGCUGGUGGAGGAGCUGACGGAGGCCCUGCCUGGUGGAGGAGCUGGGGGAGGGCCUGCCUGGUGGAGGAGCUGAUGGAGGGCCUGCCUGAUGGAGGAGCUGGUGGAGGAGCUGACGGAGGCCCUGCCUGGUGGAGGAGCUGCCGGGUGACACUGAAGUGAUCGUCACUCUCACUGCCACCUCCAGUAGGACCAGGACUCUGUGGCUGAGGAGAGCUGCUGGAGGAGCUGGGACUCCUGAGGACGACCAGGACUCUACCAACAGGGAUACCUGAGUGAAGCUACGUCUGUAACCAGACCAGGAAUCUCUGGAGGACUGACGGAGAAGCCAAACAUCCGGACGGUGAAUCCUGAAGACUAGGAGUCUACAAACAAACCAGGACUCUGUGGCUGAGGAGAGCUGGGACUCCUGAGGACGACCAGGACUCUACCAACAAGGAUUCCUGGACGCUGAUGGAAUCCUGUUUGGUCUGGGGCAGACCAGCCUGAGCUGAGCCCACCUGAUCCUGUUUGGUCUGGGGCAGAGCUGAACCCACCUGAUGCUCACAUCCUGCUGGUCCCGUCUCCUCAUCUCAUCUGAGCCUCGUCCUCAAGAACUGCUGAGCUCCUUCAAGUCCACAGUCUGAGGCUGAUGGAUGAAUGAACUCCUUUUUAACACCACAUGUACCCGUGUGCUUCCACUCGCCUUUCCCACAUGUCUGUCACUUACUCACCUCACUAACUAACCUCACAACUUCACUUUCCUCUCUACUCCUUCCUGUUGCUCUUCCUUCUCCAGGGUUCGAACCUUUACUCUGAAGGAGUGUCUUCUUGAACCUUUACUCUGAAGGAGUGUCUUCUUGAACCUUUACUCUGAAGGAGUGUCUUCUUGAGCCUUUACUCUGAAGGAGUAUCUUUUUUCCCUCAGAGGGUUCAGUGUUAGGGUUCAGAGUCAGGGUUUAGAGUCAGGGACAGAGCUGGUUAGGACAAUUGAUUUUCACUCAAACUUAUUCGUUUGCUUUCUGAAUGGUUACACCAUUUAGAAAAAUGUAUUAAGGAAAUGUUUUUCUGUGCUAUGCUGGACCGGAGGCUGGAGGACCGGAGGCUGGAGGACCGGAGGCUGGAGGACCGG
Long non-coding RNA from Gadus chalcogrammus (walleye pollock), 1133 nucleotides. RefSeq lists it as uncharacterized. The record is from RefSeq and is a predicted model, not a curated record. NCBI's taxonomy places the organism in Eukaryota, Metazoa, Chordata, Actinopteri, Gadiformes, Gadidae. The transcript has 5 exons.